UUUAAAUGGCCGCAGUAUACUAACUGUGCAAAGGUAGCAUAAUCAUUAGUCUUUUAAUUGAAGGCUGGUAUGAAUGGUUGGACGAAAUAUUAACUGUUUCAUAGGAAUUUAUAUUAGAAUUUUAUUUUUUAGUUAAAAAGCUAAAAUUUAUUUAAAAGACGAGAAGACCCUAUAAAUCUUUAUAUUUAAUUUAUUAUAAUUAAAUAGAUUAUUUUUAUUAUAAUAAUAAAUAAUAUUUUAUUGGGGUGAUAUUAAAAUUUAAUAAACUUUUAAUUGUUUAAAUCAUUAAUUUAUGAUUUAUUGAUCCGUUAUUAACGAUUAAAAAAAUAAGUUACUUUAGGGAUAACAGCGUAAUUUUUUUGGAGAGUUCAUAUUGAUAAAAAAGAUUGCGACCUCGAUGUUGGAUUAAGAUAUAAUUUUAGGUGUAGUCGCUUAAAUUUUAAGUCUGUUCGACUUUUAA
Molecule: ribosomal RNA, 460 nt
Filed under: Cordilura pleuritica
Lineage: Eukaryota; Metazoa; Arthropoda; Insecta; Diptera; Scathophagidae
Description: partial 16S ribosomal RNA
Rfam family: Bacterial large subunit ribosomal RNA
Source: RNAcentral